AAUUUUGGACAAUGGGGGAAACCCUUAUCCAGCCAUCCCGCGUGCACGAUGAAGGCCUUCGGGUUUUAAUGUUCUAUUGGCUGUGAAGAAAAGGUAUUUUCCUAUAUUGGAUACUGCUGAAGGUAUCUGAAGAAUAAUCACCGGCUAACUACGUGCCAGCAGCCGCGGUACUACGUAGGGUGCAAGCGUUAAUCGGAAUUACUGGGCGUAAAGCGUGUGUAGGCGGUUCGGAAAGAAAGAUGUGAAAUCCCAGGGCUCAACCUUGAAACUACAUUUUUAACUGCCGAGCUAGAGUAUGUCAGAGGGGGGUAGAAUUCCACGUGUAGCAGUGAAAUGCGUAGAUAUGUGGGGGAAUACCGAUGGCGAAGGCAGCCCCCUGGGAUAAUACUGACGCUCAGACACGAAAGCGUGGGGAGCAAACAGG
Molecule: ribosomal RNA, 424 nt
Filed under: uncultured bacterium
Lineage: Bacteria
Description: partial 16S ribosomal RNA
Rfam family: Bacterial small subunit ribosomal RNA
Source: RNAcentral